CCCAUGUAUAAUACGCAGCUGUUAGAAAUGCUUAGAAUCAAAUAAUCAUAGAAUUCAAAGGAGCUUAAAAACAUGACCAAUUGCCCAAGCAAUGUAGAAAUCCCUUUGUUCUGUUCAGUCUCUGCCUGCACACUCCCAGUGACAGGAAAAUGAUUGCUUCAUAAGACAGGCGGAUCCAUUUUUUUGGUAUUUCUAAUUGAAAGAAACCCCUUCCCUGGUUUCCUGCAACAUCCACCAAUUGUUCCUGGCUGCGGAUUCUGGACCUGCUCAAAACAAUCUGUUCUCUGCUAUGUACUUCUCCUUUACAUCACUAAAGAUAAUUCUUUCAAUCUCUUUGUUCUAAAUCCCUCAGUGGUUUGCAACUGUGAUUGAAGCAUCCUUCAUCAGCCUGGGUCAUCUCCGGACAGGCUCCAGUUUGACAAUAUUCUCCAGAUGUUAGUGCCACAAAAAUUGCAAAAUGAAGAUGACAGGCUUUAAAAUACAGUUUGGCAAGUUGAAAAGCAGCUCUAAUGAUGAUGAAGAAACUGACGUGAAAGUGCUCAGAAGAGUUUGAAAACAAU
This 560-nucleotide long non-coding RNA is filed under the name Homo sapiens (human). RNAcentral's name for it is "HSALNT0142294". Lineage: Eukaryota; Metazoa; Chordata; Mammalia; Primates; Hominidae. The record is from RNAcentral.